GGAAGGAGAAGUCGUAACAAGGUUUCCGUAGGUGAACCUGCGGAAGGAUCAUUGUCGUGACCCUGACCAAAACAGACCGUGAACGCGUCAUCUUGCCUGCCAGCGGCGGCCCUGNCCGUCGCUUGGCCAAAGUCCUCGAUAACCUCCUCUCCUCGGAGUGGGGGCUCGGGGUAAAAGAACCCACGGCGCCUAAGGCGUCAAGGAACACUGUGCCUAACCCGGGGAAGCGGCUGGCUUGCUAGCUGCCCCUCGUGUUGCAAUGCUAUUUAAUCCACACGACUCUCGGCAACNGGAUAUCUCGGCUCUCGCAUCGAUGAAGNAACGUAGCGAAAUGCGAUACCUGGUGUGNAAUUGCAGAAUCCCGCGAACCAUCGAGUCUUUGAACGCAAGUUGCGCCCGAGGCCACUUGGCCGAGGGCACGCCUGCCUGGGCGUCACGCCAAACACGCUCCCACCCCUCAUCGGGUGGUGGGAUGCGGCAUGUGGCUCCCCGUCUCGCAAGGGGCGGUGGGCCGAAGAUGCGGCUGCCGGCGUAUUGUGCCGGACACAGCGCGUGGUGGGCGAACUCGCUUUACUUACCGCAGUGCAUCCGGCCCAUAGCCGAUGUGAUGGCCUUAAGGACCCUAUGAACGGAGCGCAUGACGCUCCGACCGCGACCCCAGGU
RNAcentral lists this ribosomal RNA (663 nucleotides) under Poa pauciflora. RNAcentral describes it as "eukaryotic LSU rRNA". The stretch from base 278 to 436 matches the Rfam family "5.8S ribosomal RNA". The record is from RNAcentral. Lineage: Eukaryota; Viridiplantae; Streptophyta; Magnoliopsida; Poales; Poaceae.